This 299-nucleotide signal recognition particle RNA is filed under the name Saimiri boliviensis boliviensis (Bolivian squirrel monkey). RNAcentral describes it as "Metazoan signal recognition particle RNA (ENSSBOG00000002624.1)". It matches the Rfam family "Metazoan signal recognition particle RNA". Rfam says of the family: The signal recognition particle (SRP) is a universally conserved ribonucleoprotein. It is involved in the co-translational targeting of proteins to membranes. Lineage: Eukaryota; Metazoa; Chordata; Mammalia; Primates; Cebidae. The record is from RNAcentral.
GCCAGCUGUGGUAGUACAUGCCUGUAGUCCCAGCUACUUGGGAGGCUGAGGCUGGAGGAUCUCUUGAGCCCAGGAGUUCUGGGCUGUAGUGCGCUAUGCCGAUCGGGUGUCCGCACUAAGUUUGGCAUCAAUAUGGUGACCUCCUGUGAGUGGGGGACCACCAGGUUGCCUAAGGAGGGGUGAACUGGCCCAGGUUGGAAACGGAGCAGGUCAAAACUCCCGUGCUGAUCAGUAGUGGGAUUGUGCCUGUGAAUAGCCACUGCACUCCAGCCUGGGCAACUCAGCAAGACCUUGUCUCU